Long non-coding RNA from Aphis gossypii (cotton aphid), 263 nucleotides. RefSeq lists it as uncharacterized. Lineage: Eukaryota; Metazoa; Arthropoda; Insecta; Hemiptera; Aphididae. The record is from RefSeq and is a predicted model, not a curated record. The transcript has 3 exons.
AUAAUAUAUUGACUCGUUGUAUAUAGCUUGGAAACGCGAUGAGAGAUUACUGCGCAAAAACGGAUCAUAAAUAUUUAUGGAAACGGCGUAGUUAAAUACCUCGUGCGGUGUAUUGCACACAGAUUUAACGACGACGGAUAUCCAAAAUGACGUAGAGAAAAGGACUCUGUGAAGCUUAUUGAUGUGCAGCCAAUUUUACGUCCGGAUAACUGCUGACGACAAAUUAAUGUGCUACGGUUGCUGCAGUAUAUAUACUCACAAAU